This 79-nucleotide transfer RNA is filed under the name Planctomycetota bacterium. Its description in RNAcentral is "Planctomycetes bacterium (activated sludge metagenome) tRNA-Leu". It matches the Rfam family "tRNA". Rfam says of the family: Transfer RNA (tRNA) molecules are approximately 80 nucleotides in length. Their secondary structure includes four short double-helical elements and three loops (D, anti-codon, and T loops). The record is from RNAcentral. Lineage: Bacteria; Pseudomonadati; Planctomycetota.
AGCUCCGUAGACCAAUCGGGUAGGAGUCGCCUGACUCAGAAUCAGGACAGUGUGGGUUCGAAUCCCUCCGGAGCUACCA